Long non-coding RNA from Oryza sativa Japonica Group (Japanese rice), 865 nucleotides. RefSeq lists it as uncharacterized. The record is from RefSeq and is a predicted model, not a curated record. Lineage: Eukaryota; Viridiplantae; Streptophyta; Magnoliopsida; Poales; Poaceae.
AAGCCAGCGUGAGCACAGGGCUGCACAGAGCAAGCAGGGGCAGAACCACCCAUUAGGCGGGGUUGGGCGACCGGCCCAGCUAUGGCCCACGUCGCCCCACCCCCCCUUGGGCCUCCAGAUACCCAAAAACCGAUCAGGCGCAGGUGCACCGAAGAAAUCAACCAAUCACGGAAAUAGCGAUGCAUCGUAUUCCAAUCGGCGACCUGUUCAUCUUCAUUCUUUCUUUGCUAGUUCAUGCCGCAUCGCCACAAAGUCGUCAUCGUCCCGUGCGUGCCGCCGCCGCCCUGUUUGCCUUAGCCCACCAGCCGCGCUUCCCAUCCGGCCAGGCCAGCCCAUUGUGGCGGCGUGCCUCCAGCCAGCCUGGAGCCGGAGGGAACCGGCUGGCGGGCAGCAUGGAGCCUCUGCUAGCCACCACGCUGCACGCUGCAACCACCAACAAAGGAGGAGGAAGAACUGUUCCCCGCUUGCUGUUGCUGCUACGUUGCUUGGCGUCUUGGCCGCUAAUGCACGUCUGUUUCUGAUCUGUAGCAAGGAAGACAAGAGGAGAAUAGAAGACAACUGUCAGGACAUUUUUUAUCGGUUCCAAAGAAGAGUAGGGAAGAAAAGGUGGAAAUUCGUCUCGAAUUGAUGUUCCUUGUUGCAAGGAAACUAGUCAAGAUGAGAUGUCAGAGGGGAAUGAUGACAUGCAGAACUAGUGGGGAGUGUGGUCUACUUAGUCUUUAGAGAUAUCCAGAGGACAUACUUGCAUGCUAGGUAUAGGGUUUCGUCCUGGUGACAAUAAGUUGGUCAGUGAACCAACCGAUGUAAUAUGCAGUAAAGCUGGUGGAAAAAAAGUAAUAAUAAUAAACGGAACCACUGUUGUAGA